RNAcentral lists this ribosomal RNA (429 nucleotides) under Verrucomicrobiota bacterium. Its description in RNAcentral is "Verrucomicrobia bacterium partial 16S ribosomal RNA". It matches the Rfam family "Bacterial small subunit ribosomal RNA", at positions 355 to 776 of the family's 1533-position model. The record is from RNAcentral. Lineage: Bacteria; Pseudomonadati; Verrucomicrobiota.
UAGGGAAUCUUCCGCAAUGGACGCAAGUCUGACGGAGCAACGCCGCGUGAGUGAAGAAGGUUUUCGGUUCGUAAAACUCUGUUGUUAGGGAAGAAAAAAUGUAUAGUAACUAUAUACAAAAGAGACGGUACCUAACCAGAAAGCCACGGCUAACUACGUGCCAGCAGCCGCGGUAAUACGUAGGUGGCAAGCGUUGUCCGGAAUUAUUGGGCGUAAAGCGCGCGCAGGUGGUUUAGAAAGUCUGAUGUGAAAGCCCACGGCUCAACCGUGGAGGGUCAUUGGAAACUAAUAAACUUGAGUGCAGGAGAGAAAAGUGGAAUUCCUAGUGUAGCGGUGAAAUGCGUAGAGAUUAGGAGGAACACCGGUGGCGAAAGCGGCUUUUUGGCCUGCAACUGACACUGAGGCGCGAAAGCGUGGGGAGCAAACAGG